UUCCCACCUCCUUAUGCCACUGUUGCUGAGUGCUCAUCACUCCCUAGCCCUUGGCAAGUUCUGAGACUGGGAAGUUCCCUACCCAGGCCCUCCCUGAGUGAGGAGGUGAGUUCCCAGAGAACAUGGCUCCACAGGAGACACACUGGGCAGGAGAGGCUCUAUGUGGGCGGAUGCCUCCCUCACUGGAGCCUGGAACAGACUCAUGGGCAGCACAGAGUGAGUUCAAUGGCUGACGUGACACGCUACUACAACUAGGUUCUCUGAAAGAGACAAUUCAGGGAA
The sequence is a ribozyme, 282 nucleotides long. It matches the Rfam family "Nuclear RNase P". Rfam says of the family: Ribonuclease P (RNase P) is a ubiquitous endoribonuclease, found in archaea, bacteria and eukarya as well as chloroplasts and mitochondria. Its best characterised activity is the generation of mature 5'-ends of tRNAs by cleaving the 5'-leader elements of precursor-tRNAs. The record is from Ensembl.